GAAAUGCGAUACUUGGUGUGAAUUGCAGAAUCCCGUGAACCAUCGAGUCUUUGAACGCAAGUUGCGCCCGAAGCCAUCCGGCCGAGGGCACGUCACACACCGUUGCCCCCCCAAACCCCGUCGGGGAAGAAGGGGGGCGGAUGCUGGCCUCCCGUGAGCCUCGCCUCGCGGCUGGCCCAAAUGCGAGAUCUCUGCUGCGAGCGUCGCGGCGAUGGUGGUUGUCGAAUAACUCGGUGCCCCGUCGCGAACGCCCCCAGCGUGCUGUCUCGGAACGACCCCUGCGCGCGGCCUCGCGCCGCGCUUCCAACGCGACCCCAGGUCAGGCGGGGCUACCCGCUGAAUUUAA
RNAcentral lists this unclassified non-coding RNA (346 nucleotides) under uncultured fungus. Its description in RNAcentral is "sequence contains ITS1". The stretch from base 1 to 107 matches the Rfam family "5.8S ribosomal RNA", at positions 50 to 154 of the family's 154-position model. The record is from RNAcentral. Lineage: Eukaryota; Fungi.